This is a non-coding RNA of Aromia moschata, 94 nucleotides long. The record is from the annotation of a GenBank genome assembly. NCBI's taxonomy places the organism in Eukaryota, Metazoa, Arthropoda, Insecta, Coleoptera, Cerambycidae.
ACGGCUGUGGCUCAGUGGAUAAAGCACCUGGUGCGAAAUGACGAUUACUCUGGAAGAGUUAUUAUCCGCGUGGGUUCGAAUCCCGCCUGUGGAU